RNAcentral lists this ribosomal RNA (109 nucleotides) under Staphylococcus epidermidis. Its description in RNAcentral is "partial 16S ribosomal RNA". It matches the Rfam family "Bacterial small subunit ribosomal RNA", at positions 1 to 103 of the family's 1533-position model. Lineage: Bacteria; Bacillati; Bacillota; Bacilli; Caryophanales; Staphylococcaceae. RNAcentral also lists the same sequence under 1 other name. The record is from RNAcentral.
UUUUAUGGAGAGUUUGAUCCUGGCUCAGGAUGAACGCUGGCGGCGUGCCUAAUACAUGCAAGUCGAGCGAACAGACGAGGAGCUUGCUCCUCUGACGUUAGCGGCGGAC